CCCGCUGAACUUAAGCAUAUCAAUAAGCGGAGGAAAAGAAACCAACAGGGAUUGCCCUAGUAACGGCGAGUGAAGCGGCAAUAGCUCAAAUUUGAAAUCUGGCCUUCAGGUCCGAAUUGUAAUUUGUAGAGGAUGCUUUGAAUAUAGACUUGGUCUAAGUUCCUUGGAACAGGAUGUCAUAGAGGGUGAGAAUCCCGUAUGCGACCAGGUGUCUCUAUUCAUGUAAAGCUCCUUCAACGAGUCGAGUUGUUUGGGAAUGCAGCUCAAAAUGGGUGGUAAAUUUCAUCUAAAGCUAAAUAUUGGCUAGAGACCGAUAGCGCACAAGUAGAGUGAUCGAAAGAUGAAAAGCACUUUGGAAAGAGAGUUAAAUAGUACGUGAAAUUGUUGAAAGGGAAGCGCUUGCAAUCAGACUUGCAUGCAGUUGAUCAUCUGAUGUUCUCACCAGUGCACUCAAUUGCAUUCAGGCCAGCAUCGGUUUUGGUGGUUGGAUAAAGACCUUGGGAAUGUGGCUUCCUUCGGGAAGUGUUAUAGCCCAAGGUGCAAUGCAGCCUACUAGGACCGAGGACCGCGCUUUGGCUAGGAUGCUGGCGUAAUGGUUGUAAGCGACCCGUCUUGAAACACGG
This 623-nucleotide ribosomal RNA is filed under the name uncultured fungus. RNAcentral describes it as "eukaryotic LSU rRNA". It matches the Rfam family "Eukaryotic large subunit ribosomal RNA", at positions 24 to 664 of the family's 3401-position model. The record is from RNAcentral. Lineage: Eukaryota; Fungi.